This 253-nucleotide ribosomal RNA is filed under the name uncultured bacterium. RNAcentral describes it as "partial 16S ribosomal RNA". It matches the Rfam family "Bacterial small subunit ribosomal RNA", at positions 524 to 776 of the family's 1533-position model. The record is from RNAcentral.
UACGUAGGUGACAAGCGUUGUCCGGAAUUAUUGGGCGUAAAGAGCGCGUAGGCGGUCCGAUAAGUCGGCUGUGAAAGUCCAGGGCUCAACCCUGGAAAGCCGGCCGAUACUGGAUGGCUUGAAUCCGGGAGAGGGAUGUGGAAUUCCAGGUGUAGCGGUGAAAUGCGUAGAUAUCUGGAGGAACACCGGUGGCGAAGGCGGCAUCCUGGACCGGUAUUGACGCUGAGGCGCGAAAGCCAGGGGAGCAAACGGG